CAUUAAGUGGCUGAAAUAGGUAAUGGUCUCUUAAACCAAAUAAUAGUAAUCAAAUAUUACUCUUAAUGA
Molecule: transfer RNA, 69 nt
Filed under: Peloridium hammoniorum
Lineage: Eukaryota; Metazoa; Arthropoda; Insecta; Hemiptera; Peloridiidae
Description: tRNA-Lys
Source: RNAcentral